RNAcentral lists this transfer RNA (74 nucleotides) under Waddliaceae bacterium. Its description in RNAcentral is "tRNA-Arg". It matches the Rfam family "tRNA". From Rfam's summary of the family: Transfer RNA (tRNA) molecules are approximately 80 nucleotides in length. Lineage: Bacteria; Pseudomonadati; Chlamydiota; Chlamydiia; Parachlamydiales; Waddliaceae. The record is from RNAcentral.
GGACUGAUAGCUCAGCUGGAUAGAGCAUCCGCCUUCUAAGCGGAGGGUCGUAGGUUCGAGUCCUACUCAGUCUA